GAUGAAGAACGCAGCGAAAUGCGAUAAGUAAUGCGAAUUGCAGAAUUCAGUGAGUCAUCGAAUCUUUGAACGCACAUUGCGCCCUGUGGUAUUCCGCAGGGCAUGCCUGUUCGAGCGUCAUUUCAACCCUCAAGCCUCGCUUGGUGUUGGGCCCUGCCCGCCGCGGCCGGCCCUAAAGAUAGUGGCGGCGCCGCCUGGCCCUCAGCGUAGUACAGCUCUCGCUCCAGGGUCCGGCGGCAGCCUGCCAGAACCCCCCAACUCUGUGGUUGACCUCGGAUCAGGUAGGAAUACCCGCUGAACUUAAGCAUAUCAAUAAGCGGAGGA
RNAcentral lists this unclassified non-coding RNA (324 nucleotides) under soil metagenome. RNAcentral describes it as "partial contains 5.8S ribosomal RNA, internal transcribed spacer 2, and large subunit ribosomal RNA". The stretch from base 1 to 120 matches the Rfam family "5.8S ribosomal RNA", at positions 35 to 154 of the family's 154-position model. The record is from RNAcentral.